Molecule: ribosomal RNA, 490 nt
Filed under: uncultured bacterium
Lineage: Bacteria
Description: bacterial SSU rRNA
Rfam family: Bacterial small subunit ribosomal RNA
Source: RNAcentral
GAGUUUGAUCGUGGCUCAGAUUGAACGCUGGCGGCAGGCCUAACACAUGCAAGUCGAGCGGUAGAGAGAAGCUUGCUUCUCUUGAGAGCGGCGGACGGGUGAGUAAUGCCUAGGAAUCUGCCUGGUAGUGGGGGAUAACGCUCGGAAACGGACGCUAAUACCGCAUACGUCCUACGGGAGAAAGCAGGGGACCUUCGGGCCUUGCGCUAUCAGAUGAGCCUAGGUCGGAUUAGCUAGUUGGUGAGGUAAUGGCUCACCAAAGGCGACGAUCCGUAACUGGUCUGAGAGGAUGAUCAGUCACACUGGAACUGAGACACGGUCCAGACUCCUACGGGAGGCAGCAGUGGGGAAUAUUGGACAAUGGGCGAAAGCCUGAUCCAGCCAUGCCGCGUGUGUGAAGAAGGUCUUCGGAUUGUAAAGCACUUUAAGUGGAGGAAGGCAGUAAAUUAAUACUUUGCAGUUUUGACGUUACGACAGAAUAAGCACGGCU